GCCGUGCUGGAGGUCGUAUAAUAAGUUGUUUUUUCUAAGUGAUUAAUUAAAUGUUUUGUUAUGACAUGUUCCAUUAGUUUGCAACUGAUACAAGUGAGAGAGAUUGGUCUGUAGUUAACUGCGUUGUAUUUUUCACCUUUUUUGUAUGCUGGUGCGACAUUUGCAUGUUUCCAGUCAGAUGGUAUACAGCCAGAUGUAAGUGAUUUCUGGAAAAUAAUGGUGAGGAUAGGUGCCGUUAUGUUUUGAAGUUGUUUUAGAACUCUGCCGUUGAUGUUAUCUGGGCCAGUGGCUUUGUGCGGAUUGAUGUUGUGUAGGAGUUUUUGUAUGCCAGGUGUGGUAAUUGUGAGUGAUGGAAUGACUGGAUGGGGACUUGGUCCUUUAUCAGGCAUAUUACUUGCUGUUUCGGUGGUAAAGACUGAUUGGAAUUGCUCAUUUAAAAUGUUGGCUUUUUGUUUUGUAUCAGUUGUUAAUUGUCCCUCUUUUUUCAGGGGAGCAACUCCACUAUUGUCAGUUCUGAUGGAUUUAAUGUAAGAAAAGAGUUUUUUCGGUUUUGAUUGGUUGCUGUAACUUUGGUCAGGGUCAUUUGUUGGAAGGUCAAGGAUCAUUUUUUCUAUGUAUGUACAAUAGGCACGUCUCUGUUCUUGUUGGACUUGUUGUUUAAGUUUUUUAUAUUUAAGUAUAUGCUUUUUGUCCUUUUUCAUUUUAGAGUACAAUUUAUUCUUUUUAUUUAUCAUUUUUCUGAGUUUGUUGUGCACCCAGGGAAGUCGGUGUUUAUAUGUUAACAUUUUAUGUGGGAUGUUUGUAUCUAUUGAUUUUGUGAUGUUGUUUUUAAAUAAAUCCCACAUUUCGUUUAUAGUACUGUUGUUGUUGUUAUUCAUAACAGUAAGCUCUUCAAGUGUUUUUUGAAGGUCUGCUUCUAUGUUUUCCCAGUUCGCUUUGUCGUAUUUGAGUAUAUUUUUCUAGGUUGUUGUCUGAUUUUACGAAGCCAAGUGUCAAUUUCUAUGUAGACGAUGUCAUGGUCACUUAGUCCUAGUGGUGGAAGUGUGUUUACUUUGUUAACAGUUGUUGGAUUGUUAACUAGGAUUAAGUCUAAUAUUCUUUCUUUUCUAGUUGGUGUAUUAACUAUUUGUUGAAGGUUAAAAUUUUCUAGUAAUUCUAAAAGUUUAUUAUGAUGUUCAGCAUCCGGUUUACCCGGGUUGACCUGAGGUAUAGACCAGUCAAUAUGACCUAGGUUAAAGUCACCACCAAUCAUGAUAUUAGUAUUUGAUGAUUGGUUGAUUCUACUAAGUGAUAGUUCUAGUUGUUGUAAAGAUGUUCCUUUAUCUGAUGGUGGUCUGUAAUAUGCACCUAUUAACAAGUUCUUACUACCAGUCAUGUUUAUUUGAGACCAAACUAUUUCACAGUCAGUUUUAAGUUUGCUUACUUCUGUGCUUAUAAGUUCUUUAUUAAUAGCAAUAAGUACACCUCCAUGACUUUGGUUAUUUUUAUUUGGUGGUCUGUCUGAUCUAUAGACAUUAAAUAGUUCUGAUGGAAAGAAUUCAUAUGAUGAUAUAUUUUUGUCUAGCCAUGUUUCAGUGCCUAUGAUUAUAUCAGGUUUAGAUGAAUCAAUUAACUGAUUGAGAUCUUCUUUUUUAUUUCGUAUCGAUUGAAAGUUUAUGUUAAGUAUCCUGAUAGGUUUUUGAUUUUUAGUAGUGGCUUUUUGUGAUGUUUUGACUUUCGGUUUUGAUUUAGUCUUAGCCAUAGGCGAUGAAGAUGCCUGAGGAGCACCUAGGCUGUUAUUGAGUGAUGUAUCACUCAUACUCCAGUUACUACUAGAAUUUAAUGAUAUGCUUGAUUGGUUAUUGAAUAAGCUAGUGGAGAAAUUUGGCAUUCCACAAUUUGUGCAUUCCCAGCUAAUAUUACUAGCAUUCAUACACUCGUAGAUGUGAGAUGGAAUACUCUGACAGUUAAUGUGAAACCAAGUAUCGCAGCUGUCGCAGCAUAGUGCCUUUUGAUUCCAGGUUACUGCUUUUAGGCAUGUACCACAUGGCCAUCGUGGUUUUUUG
RNAcentral lists this long non-coding RNA (2045 nucleotides) under Mytilus galloprovincialis (Mediterranean mussel). Lineage: Eukaryota; Metazoa; Mollusca; Bivalvia; Mytilida; Mytilidae. The record is from RNAcentral.